GGCUGAUCAAUGCAAUAAGGAUGGCUUGGGCAGUGUGGAGAGGAGCUGGCUGGAGAUCUCCCCUCAGAGACGAGGAGAGUGCUCUGAAAACACUGAUGCAUGUGCAGGUGAGAUCAGAGCAGAGUUGUGAUCUGACAUCAGCUGAACUCCUGGGAUAGCUCCCCUUUCAGCAUUUUCUUUGGAAACAAUGUGUGACUUUGCUGAAAGGAGAGAGAAUAAGAGCGAGUCUUGUGGGUUGAAACCAUCUCCUGAGCACCUGGGAGAGCAGAGCAGAGUGUUCCAGGGCUUCCUGCUUCGUCAACAGGUUCUGGCCAAGUCCCCGAGGAGCACGGGGGACAGCUACCAUCAUCUUCAUUGGCUAAGAUUGUCACAAUGAAAUCGGCCACAUCGCUCAGAAUAUUAAAUUACUCCUAUUUUUAGAGCGGCUCUGCCUUUCAACGGUUGAUGAAGUGAUGAAGUUCCUGAGGAGGCCAGGAACUGCCAUUGAUGAAAGCACAGCCCAAGGUUAUGAAGAUCCUCUGGUAGGAGUUUGAGAUGCCAGGACUGUAGGAUAACUACCAAGAACAGCAGGUGUGGUGUGGAACUGGCCUGACUUUAGCAGACAGUCUGUGUGUGCUAUUGAUGGCAGAGCCGGAGAGAUGGAGCUGCACAAGCUCCUUUGAAACCUACACGAUCGUGAGCACCACUAAAGUUAACCCGCUCUGGGCCGUCAGUUAAGUAUUUGAUGUACUGACACGAGGACCUGAGUUCUAUUGCCACUUCCCAUGUAAAGGAGGUCAGGAUGGUGAUACAGGCUUGGAGUCCAAGCUCUGGGGAACUGCAGGCUCACGGUCAUCCAGCUUAACCAACUGGAUCAACACUAAAGUUUCUGGGCAUCUGUAAGAACCAUCUCCACUCAGUCUGUGGAGACCUAUAGCAGGGAAGUAAGAGGAACAGGCAUUGGACGUUCAAUUGGGAGAAGUUGAAGGGAUUUCCCAGGAAUAGAAUUCUGGAGUUUCAGUGUUUAUGUUGGGAAAUGCAAAGAAUGCAAAG
Molecule: long non-coding RNA, 1032 nt
Organism: Peromyscus californicus insignis
Lineage: Eukaryota; Metazoa; Chordata; Mammalia; Rodentia; Cricetidae
Exons: 4
Source: RefSeq, a predicted model, not a curated record